CGACAAGCGCGGCCUGUUGAUCCGUAAGGGUAGGAAAGUCCGGACACCGUAGGGCAACAUAGCGGUUAAUGGCCGUCAUCCGUAAGGGUAGGACAAGUGCAACAGAAAGCAAGUACAGUUCGGCUGUAGUGAAACCAGGUAAACUCUAUGUGGUGCAAUGCUAUGUAUACCGGCAAUUAAGGGCGGCUCGUCCAAUGCCGGGGGGUAAGCAGCUACAUCGUAUCGGCAACGAUACGGGCAGAUAAAUAACAGGCAUCCCGCUCCCUUGGGAGCGGGAUACAGAAUCCGGCUUAUAGCGCUUGUCUUUUU
This 309-nucleotide RNase P RNA is filed under the name Elizabethkingia ursingii. RNAcentral describes it as "RNase P RNA component class A". It matches the Rfam family "Bacterial RNase P class A". Rfam says of the family: Ribonuclease P (RNase P) is a ubiquitous endoribonuclease, found in archaea, bacteria and eukarya as well as chloroplasts and mitochondria. Its best characterised activity is the generation of mature 5'-ends of tRNAs by cleaving the 5'-leader elements of precursor-tRNAs. Cellular RNase Ps are ribonucleoproteins. Lineage: Bacteria; Pseudomonadati; Bacteroidota; Flavobacteriia; Flavobacteriales; Weeksellaceae. The record is from RNAcentral. RNAcentral also lists the same sequence under 1 other name.